CAUACCAUUUGCAAAAGUAGACAACCAAAGGUAUUGCAAGUGGGGUAUGUCCAGUCUUUCUUAGUAGCCACUUAGUCACAAACACUGGCCAAAUAUUCGUUUUUUGCUUUUUUUAACACAAAAACAAAUAUGAACGCUAAAUUUGGCCAGUAUUUGUGACUAAAGACUAAACAUACCCCACACUCAAUACCUUGGGUUGUCUACUUUUUCAAAUGGUAUG
Molecule: microRNA precursor, 220 nt
Filed under: Pelobates cultripes (western spadefoot toad)
Lineage: Eukaryota; Metazoa; Chordata; Amphibia; Anura; Pelobatidae
Source: RNAcentral